AUCUUGGUACAGGGGAGGGACUACCACAGUCUCGUCCUGGUUCUCAAGGGAUACAACAGUCAUCUUUUGCCCCUCUCAAGGAUCAUGAAGUUUGCUGUAAUUCAGUUCCUGGAUGAAACGAACGAGCCACAUGCAGUAGUUCUACAAGUAUGUUUCAAAGACGACAUCUGUUAUAUCAGAAAAAAUAACAAAAGUAACAAUUUAGCCAUCGAAUGUACUCCACCAGACAGCACCUGAGAAAGAAGUUGCUUUAAGUUCAUGAAGGGAGCAGACACACCGCCAGUCCUACCGUAUCAGGAGCUUCUAUCGAACCGUGAAAACAUUGGGGUGCCAGCAGACUUUAGAGCUGGACAAGCAUCAUAUUCACCACAGCAGUAUGUGGAGGACACCCUUGGAGGGCCUACAAUGAGACACUUCAACGGGACAAAUUAUGGCCGUAGAUACAGUAUGAAUGACAGCCCUAGCAUCAUGUUCACCAAAGCAGCAUGUGGAUGACAGCCAUGGAGUGUCUUUCUCUGGGGCUGAUGACACCACUCUGCUGUUCGAGGGACGCUUCAAGUGUGGCAACUUGCUGAAAGCAACAAGAGUUGGUGAAUUUGAUUACGAGCUCUCUCUGCGCACCAACUUGUACACCCGGUGGUUCUACUUCCAGGUGAGGAACACCAGCGUGUAGGUGCGUUACCGCUUCAACAUCACCAAACUGCUGAAGGUGACCAGCCUGUAUGAGGAGGGGAAGCUGCCCCUGCUCUACUCUGAGGAGAAGGCCCAUGUCCAGCGGGUGGGCUGGCAUCUUGUGGGUCAACAGGCCUCCUACCAAUGUAACGGGCGCAAGCACACCAACCUGCCCUGCUACACCCUCUUCUGGAUCUUCUGCUUCUCCUACUACCAAGUAAAGAACAUGAGAGAAUGUGCUCCAGCGCGGCUUCCGGGUUGGAUGUGAAAUGUGUGAAAAGAAGCAGUGAGGCUUGGUUGGGUUGUGUUCCGGAGGACGCAUGGCUCUCCACCUUCGCCUCUCCCGUCUUGUUGCAGCGAUGAGACAGGACUGUAACUACUACCAAUUUGAUACCACAACAUUGGGGAGGAAUAAAAAGACUGCAUGUUAUUUCAGCCUGUUUUGGUGGGAUGGAGUUUUAGCCUGCCUGGUGACAUCACCAGGAGGUACAGUAUAUUAGUUAAUAGACCCUAAACACGGUAAGGUACUUAAUUGUUAGCCAGAAAUUAUAUGAUAUUGAGAUAAAACAGCUGCAUUGGACCUUUAAAUUAAUUGUCUUUAUCUUAUUCAAGCAACAUGUCUUAGAAGACAUGUCUUUAAUACCCAAAAAUGUGUAUACAUUUUCCCCUUACAACCAGGAUACCUGCUACCUUUCCCACUGCUACCCCUACACCAACCUGUGGGCUGGCAUCUUGUGGGUCAACACACCCUAGGUUGUGUGAGGAGCGUAAGUUGCUGCUGUACUUUGAUCUCCAUGGACACAUCCGUAAACACAAUGUCUUCACCUACGGCUGCGAGAACCCCCGGCCCGCUGACAGACACCCUGAGAUAGUACAGCACUCCUCCUCAUUGUCUCUGUGUUUUAUCCCCCUCAGUCAAGGCCAGGGCGCAUAUCCACAAAGCAUCUCAGAGUAGGCGUGCUGAUCUAGGAUAAGAUCGUCCCUGUCCAUAUAAUCGUAUACAUUAUGAUCUAAAAGGCAAAACUGAUCCUAGAUCAGCACUUCUACUCUGAGAUGCUUUGUAAAUACCAACCCAGUUGAGAUGAAACAGCCAACAGAAGAUCAGACAGUUAAGCAGUUUGAGAAUUAAUUUUCCUUGAUUUGAACUGCCUAGCUUCUUCUCAUGUUGGCUGCUGGGGUUUCCAAGAUUCAACUAAUCUUAGCAAAAGACUGGUCUCUCAAACAUCUGAUCUUUGUAUGUCCUCCCCACAUGAAAAAAUAUUAUAGCAUACUAUGGUAUAAAUACUAUAGUACUAACUGUAGUGUUUAUG
Non-coding RNA from Salmo salar (Atlantic salmon), 1982 nucleotides. NCBI's taxonomy places the organism in Eukaryota, Metazoa, Chordata, Actinopteri, Salmoniformes, Salmonidae. The record is from RefSeq and is a predicted model, not a curated record.